GAGUAAUACUUAGGAAUCUACCUAGUAGUGGGGGAUAGCUCGGGGAAACUCGAAUUAAUACCGCAUACGUCCUACGGGAGAAAGCAGGGGAUCAUUAGACCUUGCGCUAUUAGAUGAGCCUAAGUCGGAUUAGCUAGAUGGUGGGGUAAAGGCCUACCAUGGCGACGAUCUGUAGCUGGUCUGAGAGGAUGAUCAGCCACACCGGGACUGAGACACGGCCCGGACUCCUACGGGAGGCAGCAGUGGGGAAUAUUGGACAAUGGGGGGAACCCUGAUCCAGCCAUGCCGCGUGUGUGAAGAAGGCCUUUUGGUUGUAAAGCACUUUAAGCAGUGAAGAAGACUCUUCGGUUAAUACCCGGGGACGAUGACAUUAGCUGCAGAAUAAGCACCGGCUAACUCUGUGCCAGCAGCCGCGGUAAUACAGAGGGUGCAAGCGUUAAUCGGAAUUACUGGGCGUAAAGCGAGCGUAGGUGGCUUGANNAGUCAGAUGUGAAAUCCCCGGGCUUAACCUGGGAACUGCAUCUGAAACUGUUAGGCUAGANNANGUGAGAGGGAAGUAGAAUUUCAGGUGUA
RNAcentral lists this ribosomal RNA (573 nucleotides) under Psychrobacter sp. KR04-90. Its description in RNAcentral is "bacterial SSU rRNA". It matches the Rfam family "Bacterial small subunit ribosomal RNA", at positions 108 to 677 of the family's 1533-position model. Lineage: Bacteria; Pseudomonadati; Pseudomonadota; Gammaproteobacteria; Moraxellales; Moraxellaceae. The record is from RNAcentral.